Molecule: long non-coding RNA, 81 nt
Organism: Sinocyclocheilus rhinocerous
Lineage: Eukaryota; Metazoa; Chordata; Actinopteri; Cypriniformes; Cyprinidae
Exons: 3
Source: RefSeq, a predicted model, not a curated record
GAAUGCCAUUGGCCAGUUUCAUUGGCGUGAUUCAAUAAGGCUUCACUAGUAUUUGGAGGAAGGGGAACUUCAAUUAGCAAU